GCCCGAGUAGCUCAGCGUGUAGAGCGUUAGGCUUUUAACCAAAUGGUCCAGGGUUCGAGCCCCUACUCGGGCG
Molecule: transfer RNA, 73 nt
Filed under: Dermacentor andersoni
Lineage: Eukaryota; Metazoa; Arthropoda; Arachnida; Ixodida; Ixodidae
Description: transfer RNA lysine (anticodon UUU)
Rfam family: tRNA
About the family: Transfer RNA (tRNA) molecules are approximately 80 nucleotides in length. Their secondary structure includes four short double-helical elements and three loops (D, anti-codon, and T loops).
Source: RNAcentral